RNAcentral lists this unclassified non-coding RNA (872 nucleotides) under Hevea brasiliensis (rubber tree). The record is from RNAcentral. Lineage: Eukaryota; Viridiplantae; Streptophyta; Magnoliopsida; Malpighiales; Euphorbiaceae.
GACACUCACUUACAAUUCUAGCUAAAACCAUCUCUCCCUCUCUCUCUCUGAGUAAUUUUGUUUACUUUCUUAGAUCUUCAAGAAAAUGGCUAAGGGAAGAGGCAGUGCAGUGGUGGUCUUCGUGUUUUUGUCCAUUUUGGUGCUCCAAUUUGAGGUGGGUAGUGCAGCAACCUUUACUGUUGGAGAUUCUAAAGGUUGGACCUUUAAUGUUGCUGGUUGGCCUAAAGGAAAGCGCUUUAGGGCUGGUGACAUAAUUGUGUUCAACUAUAGUCCUGCAGCACACAAUGUGGUAGCAGUGAACAGGGCAGGUUACAGUACAUGCAAUGCUCCAAAAGGUGCCAAAGUUUAUACAUCAGGGAAGGAUAGGAUCAAGCUUGUGAAGGGGCAAAACUUCUUCCUCUGCAGCUUUGCUGGGCACUGUCAGGCUGGAAUGAAAGUAGCCAUAACUGCUGCGUGAUCUAGCUAGCUAAUUAAGAUCAAGACAUUUGGGAUUUUUAUUUUUAUUUUUUCUUCACUUUAUAUAUGUAAUGAUAGGUUUUGGUGUUAGGAAAGUUACUGAUCAAUGUGUCUUUGUGGUGGUGUGUGACUUGAUUUUGUGGGUGGGUUGGUGUGGCUUCUGGCUAGGCUGCCAAAUAUAUAGAUAUAAUGUUGUGAAAUAAAAUGGAGAAAAAUAAUAGGUUGGUUAGAUUUUUCUUUUUUAAAUCUGGUCUAUGUCUAUUAUGGAUUUAAGAUGUAAGAUAUAUGGUGAAAUCAACUUAUUAAAUACAUGAAUCUCAUUUAUUUAUGUGUAUUCAUGAUUGAUCUGGUUUAGGUAAGAAUUUUCUUAGAAUGAGUCAGGGGAUUGGCUUUAGUUUCAUGGGAUUUUGUUCUUU